CCUUAAGCAUCAUCAUCCCAAGCUGAUGGUCUCGGAGAUCCCUCCGUGUCACCUUACGUUGCUCGUUUUGCCAUAAUGGCACAGUCGGUGCUUCUUGUCUUCGAAGGUCACUGGUAAACGUGGCAAUCGAUGACGUUCAUCCCUCUUGGGACGAUCCAGAUGCUGAACAACGGACCUCGUUUCCUUCCAAGGAGAUUGAAGGAUUUGGUGACCCUGAGGGUAGGGUUAGGGUUUCUGGUUCAUCAUCACAGCCAGCUGAUGAGGAGAAACCUCCUAAGGAGUUU
Telopea speciosissima is the source of this 284-nucleotide long non-coding RNA. RefSeq lists it as uncharacterized. The record is from RefSeq and is a predicted model, not a curated record. The transcript is spliced from 2 exons. Lineage: Eukaryota; Viridiplantae; Streptophyta; Magnoliopsida; Proteales; Proteaceae.